UCGCUCAACGGAUAAAAGGUACUCUAGGGGAUAACAGGCUGAUACCGCCCAAGAGUUCAUAUCGACGGCGGUGUUUGGCACCUCGAUGUCGGCUCAUCUCAUCCUAGGGGCUGUAGCCGGUCCCAAGGGUAUGGCUGUUCGCCAUUUAAAGAGGUACGUGAGCUGGGUUUAAAACGUCGUGAGACAGUUUGGUCCCUAUCUGCCGUGGGCGUUGGAAGUUUGAAGGGGGCUGCUCCUAGUACGAGAGGACCGGAGUGGACGAACCUCUGGUGUACCGGUUGUGACGCCAGUCGCAUCGCCGGGUAGCUAUGUUCGGAAGAGAUAACCGCUGAAAGCAUCUAAGCGGGAAACUCGCCUUAAGAUGAGACUUCCCCGGGGACUUGAUCCCCUUGAAGGGUCGUUCGAGACCAGGACGUUGAUAGGUCGGGUGUGUAAGCGCAGUAAUGCGUUCAGCUAACCGAUACUAAUUGCCCGUACGGCUUGAUCCUAUAACA
Molecule: ribosomal RNA, 494 nt
Filed under: Burkholderia pseudomallei
Lineage: Bacteria; Pseudomonadati; Pseudomonadota; Betaproteobacteria; Burkholderiales; Burkholderiaceae
Description: bacterial LSU rRNA
Rfam family: Bacterial large subunit ribosomal RNA
Source: RNAcentral